AAAAGCCUCUAGCGAGUGCUGUUGCGGCCCGUACCCCAAACCGACACAGGUGGUCAGGUAGAGAAUACUAAGGCGAUCGAGUGAACUGUGGUUAAGGAACUCGGCAAAAUACCUCCGUAACUUCGGGAGAAGGAGGACCAUCUGCUGUGAAGCCCCGUGCGGGCUAGCGGUGGGUGGUCGCAGAGACCAGGCCCAAGCGACUGUUUACUAAAAACACAGGUCCGUGCGAAGUCGCAAGACGAUGUAUACGGACUGACGCCUGCCCGGUGCUGGAACGUUAAGAGGACCUGUUAAUCACUUCGGUGGUGAAGCGGAGAAUUUAAGCGCCAGUAAACGGCGGUGGUAACUAUAACCAUCCUAAGGUAGCGAAAUUCCUUGUCGGGUAAGUUCCGACCUGCACGAAUGGCGUAACGACUUGGGCGCUGUCUCGACCACAGACUCGGCGAAAUUGCACUACGAGUAAAGAUGCUCGUUACGCGCGGCAGGACGGAAAGACCCCGGGACCUUUACUACAGCUUGGUAUUGGUGCUCGGUUCGGCUUGUGUAGGAUAGGUGGGAGACUGUGAAGCGGCCACGCCAGUGGUUGUGGAGUCGUUGUUGAAAUACCACUCUGGUCGAAUUGGGUGUCUCAACCUCGGGCCAUGAUCUGGUUCAGGGACAGUGCCUGGUGGGUAGUUUAACUGGGGCGGUUGCCUCCCAAAAUGUAACGGAGGCGCCCAAAGGUUCCCUCAGCCUGGUUGGCAAUCAGGUGUUGAGUGUAAGUGCACAAGGGAGCUUGACUGUGAGACCGACAGGUCGAGCAGGGACGAAAGUCGGGACUAGUGAUCCGGCACCACCUGGUGGAAGGGGUGUCGCUCAACGGAUAAAAGGUACCCCGGGGAUAACAGGCUGAUCUUGCCCAAGAGUCCAUAUCGACGGCAUGGUUUGGCACCUCGAUGUCGGCUCGUCGCAUCCUGGGGCUGGAGUAGGUCCCAAGGGUUGGGCUGUUCGCCCAUUAAAGCGGUACGCGAGCUGGGUUUAGAACGUCGUGAGACAGUUCGGUCCCUAUCCGCCGCGCGCGCAGGAGACUUGAGGAAGGCUGUCCCUAGUACGAGAGGACCGGGACGGACGGACCUCUGGUGUGCCAGUUGUCCCGCCAGGGGCAUGGCUGGUUGGCUAUGUUCGGAAGGGAUAACCGCUGAAGGCAUCUAAGCGGGAAGCUCGUUCCAAGAUGAGGUCUCCUACCACCUUGCGUGGUUAAGGCCCCCCACAGACCAUGGGGUUGAUAGGCCAGAGAUGGAAGCCCUGUGAGGGGUGGAGUUGACUGGUACUAAUAGGCCGAGGGCUUGUUCAU
This 1333-nucleotide ribosomal RNA is filed under the name Saccharina japonica. RNAcentral's name for it is "bacterial LSU rRNA". It matches the Rfam family "Bacterial large subunit ribosomal RNA", at positions 1613 to 2925 of the family's 2925-position model. The record is from RNAcentral. Lineage: Eukaryota; Phaeophyceae; Laminariales; Laminariaceae.